GUCCGACUCUUUGCCACCCCAUGGACUGCAGCACGCCAGGCUUCCUUGUCCAUCACCAACUCCCAGAGCUCACUCAAACUCAUGUCCAUUGAAUCGGUGAUCCCAUCCACUGUUUUAACAACAUUCACAUAUACCACGCUGUUGGCGCUGUGUAGUCGCAAAGUCAUGUUCGACUCUUUGCAGCUCCGUGGACUGUAGCCACCAAGCUUCUCUGUACAUGGAAUUCUACAGGCAGGAAUGCUGAAGCAGGUUGCCAUACCCUCUUCCAGGGGAUCUACACAACCCAAGGACUGGACAUGCGUCUCCUGUGUCUCCUGCAUGCAGGCAGUUUCUUUACUGCUGAUCCACCAGGGGAGCCCGACACACUCUGUCAGGAGAGCUCACUUUAGAUAACGAUGUGAAUAAUAAGCGGCAAGGCGAAAAGCAACAUACUUUUCUGGAGGAAAUGUGUGCACAGACUCUGGUGACCUACAGCCUUGGGUCCUUUGCUUUUCUUCUUCCAUGGGUGACUGUAGAUAAAUCAUUUCAUAUCUUUGAACUUCAGUUUUGGGUGUCUUUUUUUUUUUUUUUUUUUUGGUAAGAUAAAUGGGUUUGGUAAUGAUUACUUCUCAAAUUCUCUUUAAGAAUUGAGAAUUACAUAUAAAA
This 645-nucleotide long non-coding RNA is filed under the name Capra hircus (goat). RNAcentral describes it as "lncRNA (ENSCHIG00000004674.1)". The record is from RNAcentral. Lineage: Eukaryota; Metazoa; Chordata; Mammalia; Artiodactyla; Bovidae.